GGCACAGUGGUGCAGUGGGUAGCACUGUCGGCUUCACAGCAAAAGGCGGCACUGGGUUCAAAUCUCUGUUUGGGUCU
This 77-nucleotide transfer RNA is filed under the name Anguilla anguilla (European eel). RNAcentral's name for it is "tRNA-Ser". The record is from RNAcentral. Lineage: Eukaryota; Metazoa; Chordata; Actinopteri; Anguilliformes; Anguillidae.